This 640-nucleotide ribosomal RNA is filed under the name uncultured bacterium. RNAcentral's name for it is "bacterial SSU rRNA". It matches the Rfam family "Bacterial small subunit ribosomal RNA", at positions 232 to 885 of the family's 1533-position model. The record is from RNAcentral.
CGCGGCCUAUCAGCUUGUUGGCGGGGUAACGGCCCACCAAGGCAACGACGGGUAGCUGGUUCGAGAGAACGAUCAGCCACACUGGAACUGAGACACGGUCCAGACUUCUACGGAAGGCAGCAGUAGGGAAUCUUGCGCAAUGGGCGAAAGCCUGACGCAGCGACGCCGCGUGCGGGAUGACGGCCCUAGUGGUUGUAAACCGCUUUCAGCAGGGACGAAAAUGACGGUACCUGCAGAAGAAGUCCCGGCUAACUACGUGCCAGCAGCCGCGGUAAUACGUAGGGGACAAGCGUUGUCCGGAUUCAUUGGGCGUAAAGAGCUCGUAGGCGGUUCAGUAAGUUGGGUGUGAAAGCUCCGGGCUCAACCCGGAGAGGCCACUCAAUACUGCUGUGACUAGAGUCCAGUAGAGGAGCGUGGAACUCCUGGUGUAGCGGUGGAAUGCGCAGAUAUCAGGAAGAACACCGGCAGCGAAGGCGGCGCUCUGGGCUGGUACUGACGCUGAGGAGCGAAAGCAUGGGUAGCAGACAGGAUUAGAUACCCUGGUAGUCCAUGCCGUAAACGUUGCGCACUAGGUGUGGGGAGGAAUCAACCCUCUCCGUGCCGUAGCUAACGCAUUAAGUGCCCCGCCUGGGGAGUACGG